RNA transcript from Brachypodium distachyon (stiff brome), 1076 nucleotides. RefSeq lists it as uncharacterized. NCBI's taxonomy places the organism in Eukaryota, Viridiplantae, Streptophyta, Magnoliopsida, Poales, Poaceae. The transcript has 5 exons. The record is from RefSeq and is a predicted model, not a curated record.
AUUAGCUGAAAACCCGAUCAUUGACAUUUCUCGUUAACUGAACAAAAACAUUCCAGAACAAUCGCCUUCUCCGGGCACCGGCCCCAAUCUUCGUCUUCGCCAACGCCGCCACCAAAUCGAACCGAGGAACACGAUCUGACCCCGCUCCUCAGCCUCUGGAGCUUUGGACCGAGGCGGCGGCCGGCCAUCGGCAAGGUUAGUUCCUCCCCCCAUUCAUCUCUCCCCACCGAUGAUCCACCACCAAUUAUUAGGUUACAUCCGAUUCGUCUCGCUUUGGACCUCUCUGCCCAUCUGACGCUGCUGAUUUGAUCACGAUCGUGUUGUUUGCUUGCUGCAUUGGCGAUGUUAAUUGACGAGUUCCUGUUCCCAACGGUGUAUUCGACCGGAAACUAAUGUGAUGCAGCUGCGCCUGAUGAAGCGGAGCAUACGAUUCCUCUGCUCGUGUGCUCCGCAAAGUUGCCUGUGGCGGUUUGGAUUGGAAGCGGCAUGGUGGAUGCUGGAGCUGACACACUGAAUGUUGGGGGAAAUUGUGCUUGCAGUCAUCUCUAGUGGAACUUCAGGCUCGAGCUUCUCAUGUUGGGCCCAACAUCUGAAUUCCAUCUACUAUAAAAUUCCGGCCAAUUCGGCCCUCUGAUCUGGAAGUGCUCGAGCAGAUUCAUGUUGAUCUAUUUCCAGUAAGGUAUGAGAGGGAUUUUUUCUUGAGUGUUGUUAAUGACACCAGCGAAUCAGAUAGCCACAGGGAUGAGCUAGUUGGUUUUGUUACCAUGAAGAUAGUCCCUGCAGAAGACAGUGAGAUUGAAGAUCUGUUUAGCUACAACAAUUCACAGAAAGGCCUAACACUUGCAUAUAUUUUAAUGCUUGGUGUGGUAGAUCAUUACAGAAACCUUGGCAUAGGAGGUGAUUAAAUAUGCUACAAGUAUCAUCAAUUGCAGGGGUGUAUAUUUGCAUGUCAUUUCAUACAAUCAACCUGCCACCAGCUUCUAUGAGAAGAUGCUAUUUAAUCUGGUUCAAAGAUUGCCGAUGUUCUACUACAUUAAAGGACAGCAUUACGACUCUUUACUUGUUUGCAUACUAUG